Non-coding RNA from Camellia sinensis, 348 nucleotides. Lineage: Eukaryota; Viridiplantae; Streptophyta; Magnoliopsida; Ericales; Theaceae. The record is from RefSeq and is a predicted model, not a curated record.
UAUAUGUUGUGCGUGAGUUACAACAAAUGUACCUUUGUGAAUGUUGGCAAUUCACAGUGCUUGUAUCAUUACUUCUCCCUCGUUCUUUGCCCAUAAAUGGGUCUAUUUAGCUCUGAGUUUCAGCCAUCCUAUUGAGGACCCACACCGAUCUAGUUUGGCUCUGGAAAUGACCCAGAGUUUCUUGGAUCAAUUCCUACUCUAGAGUCUAGGUAUCCCUGGUCAUGGGGUUUGCAGGCAUGAUUGUGUAUUCGGGGGUUUAUAUAGUCUGACCGGCAAAAUGGGGUGGGGAAAAAAAAAAAAAAGCAGGAACACAAAACAAAAACGAAGAAGAGAGAAGGAAAAAAAGAA